This 483-nucleotide long non-coding RNA is filed under the name Lepisosteus oculatus (spotted gar). RNAcentral describes it as "lncRNA (ENSLOCG00000021950.1)". Lineage: Eukaryota; Metazoa; Chordata; Actinopteri; Semionotiformes; Lepisosteidae. The record is from RNAcentral.
CUCCAACUGUACAGCUCAGUUGGGAUUUCCUGCAAGUGCAAGAUUUUAAGCAUGAAAAAGAACUCUGUAAAUAAAUCUGCAAUUGGUGUCUUGAACAAUCUGGGCAUGCUAUUUAUUCCAGUCUUCCUGAUGACUGUGCUUUUCAGGAUUUAAUGGACCUCUACAAGAUGGAAGACACGGAUAAACAAUGGAUAACUUCAAACAGAGCAAGACCUCAAACAGAGUCUCAUGACUCUCUUUCAAAGGCGACUGAAAGAAGUUUACAUAACAAGGCAAGGGUAAGGAUGGCACAUUUGAUCACAUUCCUCAGCAAGAAUGCCUGAAGGAUUCCCUGGAGGGAGCACUCAAUUAGGAGAGUUCAAGUUUAGAACUUAUUUAUUUAUUACUUCAGCUAUGAAUUGUGUUCUUCUUAAGAUGCAGUAAUUCUGAGCAACUGGCUUAAAUAUUCCUUUUUUGAGAAGUAAGAGAAAUCUUGAAUUUAAC